AAGUAACGGAUCCUUCCUACAACACCAAAACAGUUUCUGCGGGAGUUCCGAAGCCAGCGGUUUCGGAAAUGUGGCGAAGAGGCUUUACCAGCAGCUACACACCCCCUGCGCAAGCACUAAAGGAGAAGAAAUGGGACGCAUUGGUGAUCGGCGGUGGGCAUAAUGGCUUGACAGCCGCGGCUUACUUGGCUCGUGGCGGCUUAUCCGUUGCCGUGAUCGAGCGACGCCACGUCAUCGGUGGUGCAGCCGUAACCGAAGAAAUUAUUCCUGGCUUCAAAUUCUCUCGCUGCAGCUACCUCCAAAGCCUCCUCCGCCCCUCCGUUAUCAGAGAGCUAGAAUUAAAGAGGCAUGGCUUGAAGUUGUUGAAGCCGACAGCGACGUCGUUUACGCCAUGUCUUGAUGGGCGUUACCUUCUAAUGGGGUACGAUGAUCAUCAUAACUACUUGGAGAUAUCAAAGUUUUCGAAACGUGACGCGGACGCUUAUCCCAGCAGAUAUGAAAAUCAGCUAUAUAAGUUCUCUAAAUUGAUGGACUUUCUUUUGGAUUCACGUACCCCUGAAACCUUGCACUGGGAUUCAUCAUUUAUUGAUCGUCUGCGGGAUAAGUUAGAGAAAUCAGUGUUUUGGGCUUCCUGCCUGAGGCAUAUUUUAGCUUUGGGGCAAAAGGAUGUGGUGGAUUUUAUGGACCUUUUAUUGUCCCCUACAUCAAAGGUUCUAAAUAAGUGGUUCGAGAGUGAUAUACUGAAGGCAGUACUUGCUGGAGAUGCCAUUAUUGGAAGUAUGGUAAGACCUCCAUACUUAUUAAUGGCCAGCAUUCAUACACCUGGCAGUGGAUAUGUUCUACUACAUCAUGUGAUGGGUGAAACUGAUGGUGAUCGUAAUAUAUGGUCGCAUGUUGAAGGUGGGAUGGGCUCUAUAUCCAUGGCCAUAAGUAAUGCUGCAAGCGAAGCUGGGGUUUCUAUUGUGACAAAUGCAGAAGUGUCACAAUUAAUGAUUGGAGAUUCUGGUACAGUAAAAGGGGUGUUGCUAGCUGAUGGGACAAGAGUACAUUCUUCAGUUGUUCUAUCGAAUGCAACCCCUUACAAGACCUUCCUGGGAUUGGUGCCUCAAGAUGUUCUUCCUGAUGAUUUUCUCCGUGCUAUCAAGUACUCUGACUACAACUCUGGAACCACAAAAAUCAAUGUAGCUGUUGAUAAAUUGCCCCAGUUCCAUUGUUGCAGAUCAAAUAAUCCAGAAGGGGGUCCUCAGCAUACAGCUACUAUUCACAUUGGUUCUGAAAGCAUGGAGGAGAUAGGAUCAGCUUGUCAGGAUGCUUGGAAUGGCUUACCUUCAAAACGGCCUGUUAUGGAGAUGACAAUUCCUUCUUCACUGGACAAGACUAUUUCUCCUCCUGGUAGAGUGAAGUCAAUCUUCCUUAUGCCUCUCUCCAUUCAUGAUGUAUUCAAUUUUUUUUUAAUGAUUUUGUCUUUGAAUCAUGCUGCUAUUCAAAAGGUAUGUUUUUCCCAAAAUUUCUAAUCAUUGUCAACUUCUUAAGCUUAAAUACACUGCUUCAUUCUCUAUUCUUCUGACUUAUUCAUUAUAAUGCAUAUGGAGGGAAGCAUAUCUCUCUGAGAUACAAGGAACAAUGAGGAUCAAAACAAAGUAGGGGUAAUCAAUCCUAAGGUGAACCCGACAGAAAUGCAAGGAGAAAUGGUUAUUUCAAAAAUAAUCUUGUGGUGUUUAUCCCCAUAGUGAAGUUAAUUUUGAACAAAACAUUCUAUGAAUUGAUAGAUUCCAGUCUUCUUUUCUUUUACUAGAAAUCCUAAGGUGAACUAAACACUUUUCUUUCGUUCUUUCUUUCUUUGGUGGGUUCAACCUGCAAGGGGGAGCUUAUUGGAGAGGGACAACGUACGAUUAUCAGUUGAUAAAGAAUUUAAUGAAAGCAUGUGGUUAGCUUGUUCACCCAAUACACGCCUUAUAAACCCUCCGAUGGUAGUUGGGAAAAUCCUACAUACCGAGAAUCAUAUGCACAGAGAUGCUUUAGCUUGAUUGAUGAAUAUG
RNA transcript from Theobroma umbraticum, 2039 nucleotides. RefSeq lists it as uncharacterized. The record is from RefSeq and is a predicted model, not a curated record. NCBI's taxonomy places the organism in Eukaryota, Viridiplantae, Streptophyta, Magnoliopsida, Malvales, Malvaceae.